CAAAAAUUUAAUUUAAAGUAUUUAAGUAGUAUUAGUUAAGAUCUUGAAAUUUAAAAAAUUUGGCGGUAUUUUAGUCUAUUCAGAGGAACCUGUUUUGUAAUCGAUAAUCCACGAUGAAUCUCACUUAAAUUUGUUUUUAUAGUUUAUAUAUCGUUGUUUAUGGAAUAUUUUAUAAAAAUAAUAAUUUUCUUAAUUUCUAAUUAGAAAUUAUAUCAGAUCAAGAUGUAGCUUAUAUUUAAGUUUAUAAUGGGUUACAUUUAUAUUAUUAUUGGAAAUAAAUUUGUAAUAAAUUUAUUGAAAUUGGAUUUGAUAGUAAAUUUAUAAAGAUAGUUAAAUUGAUUAUAGCUCUAAAAUAUG
Molecule: ribosomal RNA, 357 nt
Filed under: Eudorylas sp. CNC Diptera 21524
Lineage: Eukaryota; Metazoa; Arthropoda; Insecta; Diptera; Pipunculidae
Description: partial 12S ribosomal RNA
Source: RNAcentral